Molecule: transfer RNA, 74 nt
Rfam family: tRNA
About the family: Transfer RNA (tRNA) molecules are approximately 80 nucleotides in length. Their secondary structure includes four short double-helical elements and three loops (D, anti-codon, and T loops). Further hydrogen bonds mediate the characteristic L-shaped molecular structure. tRNAs have two regions of fundamental functional importance: the anti-codon, which is responsible for specific mRNA codon recognition, and the 3' end, to which the tRNAs corresponding amino acid is attached (by aminoacyl-tRNA synthetases). tRNAs cope with the degeneracy of the genetic code in two manners: having more than one tRNA (with a specific anti-codon) for a particular amino acid; and 'wobble' base-pairing, i.e. permitting non-standard base-pairing at the 3rd anti-codon position.
Source: Rfam
GCGCCUCUAGCUCAAUUGGUUAGAGCGUCGGACUCUUAAUCCGUAGGUUCCGGGUUCGAGUCCCGGGGGGCGUA